UUGCGCGGGACUGCCGCGUUUUGCGUCGGUCUCUCGAGCUCCUUUUGGUCUUUUAGAGAGGACGCACCUGAAAGUGACGCUCAUCACGUUUAGGCCAAAGUGUACGAAGCAGAGUUAAAUCCCCAAGUUUUCUGAGGUACAGAUAACACCCCUCAGGAAUCUAGCAACAAGGUUUUUUUUUUCAUGAGGCAGCAAUUGUGAUCAUCCAGGAAAUGUCUUAAGAAGGAAUGAUGAGAAUCCAGAAGCUUUAUCACACUGGGUGCAGUUAUAAGCUUGGUUCAUAUGGCAUGCCAAGGUUAAUCCACAGUGUUGUUGCCUUAGUUGUGGCUCAAUAAGCAACUUGGCUUAUUGAGUAAAUCACAGCUAAGCAAACUGAAGCUUGGUGCAAUAUGAGAUCCUUAUCAAAAUGAAGCAGGUUAAGCAAAUUCGCAGAAACAGAAAUAGCCCUAAUUUUUUACCUCUCUCCCUAUGUUCCUAUACUACUCUCACUGCCUUUCUUUGGGAUCAUCAAAAUGUGCAACAUUCAGUGCCUGUCCUAUAUAUAGUUAUUUUUGACUGGAUGAGAAUAAUGGUUAGCCAGGGUCUUCAUAAUUUGCUGCAAGUGCUAAGUCACAAAACCAUGCAUUGUUUACUUAAAAACGUGCAUAAUUUCAACAGGAAUAGGGUAAGGGCAUCUAUAUUGGGGGAAAAAAAUCCUUGGGGUAGGAUUUUUGAUGUCCCUGACAUGUCUUUCAAAUAAAGGCCAUUCCCCUAA
Crotalus tigris (Tiger rattlesnake) is the source of this 754-nucleotide long non-coding RNA. RefSeq lists it as uncharacterized. Lineage: Eukaryota; Metazoa; Chordata; Lepidosauria; Squamata; Viperidae. The transcript has 3 exons. The record is from RefSeq and is a predicted model, not a curated record.